RNAcentral lists this ribosomal RNA (454 nucleotides) under uncultured bacterium. Its description in RNAcentral is "bacterial SSU rRNA". It matches the Rfam family "Bacterial small subunit ribosomal RNA", at positions 32 to 487 of the family's 1533-position model. The record is from RNAcentral.
AAUCAACGCUGGCGGCGUGCCUAACACAUGCAAGUCGAACGGGAAAACGGGGGCAACUCCGUGAGUAUAGUGGCGUACGGGUGAGUAACACGUGACUACCUACCUUUGAGUGGGGGAUAACCCCGGGAAACCGGGGCUAAUACCGCAUAACAUCGCAAGAUCAAAGAAGCAAUUCGCUUAAAGAGGGGGUCGCGGCUGAUUAGCUAGUUGGUAGGGUAAUGGCCUACCAAGGCGAUGAUCGGUAGCCGGCCUGAGAGGGCGCACGGCCACACUGGAACUGAAACACGGUCCAGACUCCUACGGGAGGCAGCAGUGGGGAAUUUUGCGCAAUGGGGGAAACCCUGACGCAGCAACGCCGCGUGGAGAUGAAGAUUUUCGGAUCGUAAACUCCUGUCGAAUGGGAACGAAAAAGUUGCGGGUUAACAGCCCGCGAUUCUGACGGUACCGUUAAAGG